CCCAUUGAUAACAAAAGUAUAAAAAAUAAGAAAAAGAAGAGAACCCCAAGAAGGCUUUGUGUUUGCUUAGAUGAUGGGCUAGCAUUCUACAUUUUCAUUCUCAGUGGGGCAGAGAAGGGAGGCUACCAUGGGCAGAAGCAUGGAAAAGAAAUAGGAGAAGAAACAAAGGAUUUAUCCAGCAAGAGAGACAGGAGGAAGAAGGAAGUGGACAAAAGCUGCCCUGAGAUUCUCAUCCCACAGACCUAUCAGGUCCAUUUCCCCUAACCUCUCCUCCCCAGAUCAACAAUGCUCAUCUCUUCUGAUUCUCUUCUAAUUAUAUAUGUUCCCCUUUUUUGUUUAUCUUCUAGAAUCAGACUAGCACCUUUGCUCCAGGACAUAGGAUCCAUUUCCAAUGGCAAAAAGCUCUGACGCACUGAGAGUGUCAUUCAUAUACCAGGCAACCUAAAAUGGGGAAAGAGAGAAGAAUGCUCCUGGGAAGGUUGUAUUGGCUAGACCUGAGGAUGGCAUACAUGUGUACUCACAUUCUACAGGCUGUGGCUAAGUCAUGUGGCUGUGCCCAGUUACAAGGGUGGCUGAAAUGUGGUUGUACUAGUUUCCUAAGCUUGCCAUAACAAAGGAAGCAAACCGGGUGGCUUAAAAUAACAGAACUUUAUUCUCUCACAGUUAUGGAGGAUGGAAGUCUGAAAUCAAGGUGUUAGAGCCAUGCUCCUUCUGAGAGCUUUAGAGAAGCAUCCUUCCUUGCCUCUUUCCCGCUUCUAGUGGUUGCCGGCAAUUGGUCUUUCUUGGCGUGUAGCUGCAUAGUUCCUAUUUUGCCUCAGUCUUCAUAUGACUGCCUUCCCACGGUGCCCAAAUUUUCCUCUUUUUAUAAGGAUACCUGUCACUGGACUAAGGCUCACCCUAAUCUAUUAUGACCUCACUUUAACAUGAUUGCUUCUACAAAAGGCCCUAUUCCCAAGUCAGGCCACAUUCACAGGAACUGGAGGUUAGGACUUAAACGUAUCCUUUUUUUGGGGGGGGGGGGGGGAGAGGACAGUUCAACCCAUGACAGUGGUCUAGCUGUCUAGGAGGGAAAGACAAAAUUGUUUGAUGAAUCGCUGUCCAAUCUGUAUCUAGUUAGUUGUUGAGUUUCUCUAACACAAGUAAUAGGAAACAGGAAAGGUUUUGAGGGUUUUAGAGAACUAAGCCUUUAUUGGUAUCAAUGAUUCUCUAAAAAAAUAUAUUUUUUAACACCAGACAAUUUUGACAAAUAAACUUUUGGAAGAUAAUCUAUCUCUAAGGCAUAAUUGCUUAUACUACGGGGACAUUUACCCCCCCCCCCAAAUAAUGCCACAAUUUUUUUUUAAAGCAGUAUGUCUCAGAUUUCAUAAUACUCUUGAUUCUAAUGGCUUAAUAGAACAGAGUAGGCAUAUUAAAAUUAAUCUAAUCACCUCUAAAACUCCAUACCUAUAAAAUAUUCUUAGCAUAAAACUAAGAAAGGUUUCCUUUUUUCUCCUUGGGUCACUGUCAUCUGACUGUGGUUUCUGCUCUUGGCAUUUUCCAUCUUGGCUUUUGCCCAUCUUACUGCACUUUAUUAAGUGGCUGCUCUUCACUGAAGCUGGCCAUGAUUUAAUAAAAACAACAACAACAACAACAACAAUGAACAGUGUCUUUAGAAUCAGAAGAACAUUAGUUCUGCAGCUUAUCAACCUUGUUAUCCUGGGAAAGUCACCAAAACUGCUUUCUACCUCAGUUUUUUUUUUUUUCCCUUCCUGUACUAUGCUUGAUGUUGACCUUUUCCCAGUGUGGUUGUAAGAAUCCCAUAAAGUCACUAAAUAUUUGAGUAUCUGUCAUGUGCCAGUAUUGUUAUAAGUACUUGGGAUAUGUCAGUGAGCACAGAUCUCAAGCCUUCAUGGAUCUUCCAUUGUGGGGCUAAAAAUUAUGUAAAUUAUAAAAUGCUUUAAAAUGUAAGGUACUGUCAUGACUGCUAUUUUAUCUGCAGCAGCAACUCCAGUUUCUCAAAUAUCUUUAAAAAUUGUAUUGAAAUGCUACAGCAUAGCUCUCCCAGAUGUCAGAAGGUAUGCAAAAUCAUCAAAUAAAUGGAGACUUUACCCAUUAAAAGUUUAACCAUAAAUAUAAACUCAUGGUAAAUAUUUAAAAUGUUUCCUUAUUGCAUUUAAAAAUAAGCCUGGGGCCCCUAUUAUAUGUCACACAAUGCGUUAGGUUCCAUACGGGAUGAGAAGAUAAACACUAAUCCUGCCCUUCAGGAGCUUAGCUUCUGGUUGGACACAUGCCGGCUAAAGACUACUCUCUGAGGACAGAAGAGGAAUGCCCAGUAAGAAGGCACAGAGAAAUUGAUUGAAAGCUUCAAAGAGAAACCCAAAUGCUCACAACACUACAACCUAUUGUCAAUCUCUGCAUGUAUAAAUUGUACCUUCUAGGAGUUCCCAUUGUGGCUCAGUGGAAACGAAUGUGACUAGCAUCCAUGAGGAUGCAGGUUUGAUCCCUGGUCUCACUCAGUGGGUUAAGGAUCCAGUGUUGCUGUGAACUGUGGUGUAGGCCAGCGGUAUAGCUCCAAUUCAACCCCUAGCCUGGGAACCUCCAUAUGCCGUGGGUGUGACCCUAAAAAGAUAAAUAAAGAAAUAGAUAAGUAAAUAAAUAAAUAAAUUGUAUCUUCUAAUGCUAUAAUGACUAAACUACUGCUAGCACCUAUUUAUCUACUUGCUGAGAUUUUUAUUUUACAGUUUGAAUAUGGGUGCUUACCUCUGUGGUAUUCUGGUCUAGUGUGUGUGCAGUACAUUCACUCUGUAAAGAAAGUACAUUGUAUAAAAGUUUACUUUUCAGAAGCAGCAGCCAGGAGUUUGUAGCUCCACUGUCAACAUCGGAGACCUGCGUCCGAGUGUCUAAGCCAUGGGUUAUAUAUUUGGAUAUUGACAAAGAAGGCACUGUUAGGAGAGACUAUCCAAACCUAACCAGAAAUUGCUAAUUCAUAAAGUUGUCAAAUACGAAGUUCACCUGUUUGCGAUUUACUUUGCAGAAGUGACAUAAAAACAAUGAUUGGGCUCCUCCUCGGGCUAUCAAAACCAUUGACUGAAAAACAUUCUGGCAUCAAAUGAGAAUGAAGGUGUUAGUAACACAUCUGUCCUGGAGAUCCAGAUGCUGGCAAAGUUUUCCUUUUUCCGCUCUUUUUCUCUUUUGCCAUGUCAUUGGUUUGCUAAUGUAUUU
Molecule: long non-coding RNA, 3201 nt
Filed under: Sus scrofa (pig)
Lineage: Eukaryota; Metazoa; Chordata; Mammalia; Artiodactyla; Suidae
Description: lncRNA (ENSSSCG00065078558.1)
Source: RNAcentral